This 460-nucleotide ribosomal RNA is filed under the name uncultured bacterium. RNAcentral's name for it is "partial 16S ribosomal RNA". It matches the Rfam family "Bacterial small subunit ribosomal RNA", at positions 338 to 795 of the family's 1533-position model. The record is from RNAcentral.
CCUACGGGUGGCAGCAGUGAGGAAUAUUGGUCAAUGGGCGCAAGCCUGAACCAGCCAAGUCGCGUGAAGGAUGACUGCCCUACGGGUUGUAAACUUCUUUUAUAAAGGAAUAAAGUGAGGCACGUGUGCCUUUUUGUAUGUACUUUAUGAAUAAGGAUCGGCUAACUCCGUGCCAGCAGCCGCGGUAAUACGGAGGAUUCGAGCGUUAUCCGGAUUUAUUGGGUUUAAAGGGAGCGUAGAUGGGUGGUUAAGUCAGAGGUGAAAGUUUGGGGCUCAACCGUGAAAUUGCAAUUGAUACUGGCAGCCUAGAGUACAGUUGAGGUAGGCGGAAUGCGUGGUGUAGCGGUGAAAUGCUUAGAGAUCACGAAGAACACCGAUUGCGAAGGCAGCCUACUAAACUGCCACUGACGUUGAGGCUCGAAAGUGUGGGGAGCAAACAGGAUUAGAUACCCGUGUAGUC